GUGGGUAUAGUCAAGUGGUCUAAGACACAGGAUUGUGGCUCCUGCAUUCAUGGGUUCAAAUCCCAUUACCCACCCCA
Molecule: transfer RNA, 77 nt
Filed under: Clostridiales bacterium
Lineage: Bacteria; Bacillati; Bacillota; Clostridia; Eubacteriales
Description: tRNA-His
Rfam family: tRNA
About the family: Transfer RNA (tRNA) molecules are approximately 80 nucleotides in length. Their secondary structure includes four short double-helical elements and three loops (D, anti-codon, and T loops). Further hydrogen bonds mediate the characteristic L-shaped molecular structure. tRNAs have two regions of fundamental functional importance: the anti-codon, which is responsible for specific mRNA codon recognition, and the 3' end, to which the tRNAs corresponding amino acid is attached (by aminoacyl-tRNA synthetases). tRNAs cope with the degeneracy of the genetic code in two manners: having more than one tRNA (with a specific anti-codon) for a particular amino acid; and 'wobble' base-pairing, i.e. permitting non-standard base-pairing at the 3rd anti-codon position.
Source: RNAcentral